Non-coding RNA from Caenorhabditis elegans, 86 nucleotides. NCBI's taxonomy places the organism in Eukaryota, Metazoa, Nematoda, Chromadorea, Rhabditida, Rhabditidae. The record is from Ensembl.
AGAAAAAAGAAACAAGGGAUAAUUUAGAUGUCAAUGUUUCCGGUAAUAGAGAAUAUGGAAAGGAAAUGAGCAAGAAUUUCGUAGUU